Molecule: ribosomal RNA, 301 nt
Filed under: uncultured bacterium
Lineage: Bacteria
Description: partial 16S ribosomal RNA
Rfam family: Bacterial small subunit ribosomal RNA
Source: RNAcentral
CAGUAGCCGCGGUAAUACGUAGGUCCCGAGCGUUGUCCGGAUUUAUUGGGCGUAAAGCGAGCGCAGGCGGUUAGAUAAGUCUGAAGUUAAAGGCUGUGGCUUAACCAUAGUACGCUUUGGAAACUGUUUAACUUGAGUGCAGAAGGGGAGGGUGAAAUUCCAUGUGUAGCGGUGAAAUGCGUAGAUAUAUGGAGGAACACCGGUGGCGAAAGCGGCUCUCUGGUCUGUAACUGACGCUGAGGCUCGAAAGCGUGGGGAGCAAACAGGAUUAGAUACCCGCGUAGUCCCUGUCUCUUAUACA